RNAcentral lists this ribosomal RNA (254 nucleotides) under uncultured bacterium. Its description in RNAcentral is "partial 16S ribosomal RNA". It matches the Rfam family "Bacterial small subunit ribosomal RNA", at positions 524 to 776 of the family's 1533-position model. The record is from RNAcentral.
GACAGAGGUGCCAAGCGUUAGGCGGAAUCACUGGGCUUAAAGCGUGUGUAGGCGGAUCGUUAAGUACCUUGUGAAAUCCCACGGCUCAACCGUGGAACUGCUGGGUAUACUGGCGAUCUUGAGCCACCUAGGGGCGAGCGGAACAAGCGGUGGAGCGGUGAAAUGCGUAGAUAUCGCUUGGAACGCCAAUGGUGAAAACAGCUCGCUGGGGGUGUGCUGACGCUGGAGACACGAAAGCCAGGGGAGCGAACGGG